RNAcentral lists this long non-coding RNA (1108 nucleotides) under Cucumis sativus (cucumber). RNAcentral describes it as "long non-coding RNA (CSAT_LNC000167)". Lineage: Eukaryota; Viridiplantae; Streptophyta; Magnoliopsida; Cucurbitales; Cucurbitaceae. The record is from RNAcentral.
UUGGUACAAGAAUCAUAUUAGCAUGCAUCAGAAGAUAAGUUUUCUAUGAUCAUAAACAUGGCCGAUGAUGUUUAUCAAUGAUGAUCUUCUAAGAAAAUAACAAAUUUCUAAAAUUGAAGGACAACAAACAUAAAAAAUGAAGGACAAUAGAGAAUAACCAUACAUAUUCUCACAUAGAUUUUUCGCUACAAAAUACACACAUUUGCAAUAUGCUAUCAAAAUCCAAACGGUGCAAGGCUACCUCAAUGAUUAUCACUAAAUCCAAAUUAUGCAAUCAAAAUCAAAGGAUACUGCAUUUGCAUUUUUUCAAAGUUCUAACACCGUCCAUAUUUUUUUAGAGUAAAGUUUAACACCAGUAACCAAAAAUAAGAGAGAAAGAAUAUACAGGGGCAAGAUGAAAACCAAAACAAGCCAAAAACAAGACGACCUUUACACUCAAUUACAGAGGAGGAGCAUGGAAAUCCAAAUACUUACGUUUUAUUGUCCACAAUAAUAUAGGUAAAUGGUGAAUGCCUCUUCACAAACCUGAGAAAACAUAGAAAAUCACAAAUGUGGUAACUCAUAGGAAUCAUUAAACACCCAUUACAAAAAAAAAAAAAAGCAAAUAUUCUUUCAGAGUAAAUAGUAGAAAAAAGACAAAAUAUUUAUGGCAACACAUCAGAAAUUUUUAGCACAAUAAAUAUGAGUGUGACUUUAAACUUCUUGCCAAAGAAUAGGUGCAAAAUAUAUAUUUCACUGAAAAGAAGAAAUAAACGAUAAUUAAAUAAUUUACAAGUGUAGGUGACCAUUUUCAUAAUUCAACAACUGUUAAUUAAGAUACAAACCAAAUAGAGGUUUGAAAAGUGGAAAGUUCUCAAUGUUAUUCAAAAUGUCAAAAUUAACAUAUCAGUGUGGAACAUCAAAGCCACAUCACAAUAUUUCAUGCAGACACUGAUGCAAUUGAAUGAAAAGUAAAUUUCACUUCAACUAGUAAAUACAAUUAACGCAGAAUUUUACCUAAAGAAAUUUAAGUUUAUGUCUAUCUUUUGAUGUUUCAUUUCAUCAGAGCCUCCAAUUCCAUUACACUUUUUAAUACCAUACACUUGAAAGGCAGUUUGAUAAACAUUUG